Long non-coding RNA from Myotis davidii, 131 nucleotides. RefSeq lists it as uncharacterized. Lineage: Eukaryota; Metazoa; Chordata; Mammalia; Chiroptera; Vespertilionidae. The transcript is spliced from 3 exons. The record is from RefSeq and is a predicted model, not a curated record.
GGGAGUUCUGCAGUCUGCCUGAAGGUGGAAUUUUCUUAGUGAAAUGGACACAAGAGGAUGAUCCAUAUUGCAUGGUUUUACAAACCAGCAGAAAAACAGCUGGUGAACCUCCACAGGCCUGGACCUUGCUG